GGAUCCCUCCUGGGUCUGCAAUUAGUGAUAAUGUGCUAAUUAGUGUGUCAUUACUUCUUCCAAGGUGUCCCAUUUUAACAGGCUACUCUGGUAGAUUUUGCGCUAUAUCCCAAAGGAAUAGUUUUUUUUUGUUUUUUUUUUUUUUACAGUUCUGAUGUCACUCUUGAGUGCUAAUAAUGAGAUAUUUUGAGGUUAGACACUCUUUGGGAGCCCCUCCUAUCAUACUCUGAGCUGUCUAGUCUGCCAACACAUAGUAUACCCUGGUCAAGCCGUUAAAAACACCGGGACACCUGAGAACGUUAAUUUACCCCCAUUUUACCCAGUGCCAAGGGGGGGCGUGGAGCUCGGCACGCGUAAACCAAACAAGGAAAUUGAUUAAGUGGAAGCAACUUUACUGACCUAGAGAUAAAAUUCUGCCCUCAAACCCUCACUGGAGUUAUAUACAUUUCAUGUUGGAAACCGAAGAACACUAUAAAAUCCCCUUUGAAUAGACAUUUCACAAAGGGAGCGUAUCAAUAAUGUGCUCAUUGGGAACAGAUUGUAUUUAUUCUGAUAAAAGUCAGCUUUGUGCAAUGAUGGUGUCUGCCCUAAAUUUGGGACGUUAAAACCUCCCAAAUCCACGGUGAUCGUACAGGGCUUUUGUGCUUAUCAUCUUUGUUCUUUCCAUGAAAUAUAGAUGCAAUUACCAUCGCCUCUUACGUGGAGAAUAAGAAAACACACUCGGCUCCCUUUGGUUCUCAUCCAGAAAGGCGGGCUUUCUACUCUCUCCCCAGCCUGGCAGGGUGUCCGUGCUGAAGAAAACGAAAGCCUAUACAAUAGGUGAUCGCAACAUACCAUACCAACCUUGCACAGAGGGGCCCCUGGCCCAGUCUUGGAGGAUCCAGGGAGACUUCUGGAGGAGGUUGCUUCAAAGGAAAUGAGAUAUACGAGUGCGGAUCCAGUUCUAAUGUAUGAACACGGUGAAGGAACAUCGUGGAGGGGGGUGUGGGAUAUAGGACAGUAUUUUAACAAAUUAUCGGG
This 1020-nucleotide long non-coding RNA is filed under the name Felis catus (domestic cat). Its description in RNAcentral is "lncRNA (ENSFCAG00000040932.2)". The record is from RNAcentral. Lineage: Eukaryota; Metazoa; Chordata; Mammalia; Carnivora; Felidae.